Molecule: long non-coding RNA, 723 nt
Organism: Anopheles gambiae (African malaria mosquito)
Lineage: Eukaryota; Metazoa; Arthropoda; Insecta; Diptera; Culicidae
Exons: 2
Source: RefSeq, a predicted model, not a curated record
CAUGCAUCUACCGUUGGAUUGCGCUACAUCGAGUCUACCCAUCUCUCUCGAUCUACCAUGAUUUUUUCUGCUAUCGCACUCAUCUGGGAGUUAGGCAUCCUCAGUCUGCCCAGAACUUUCGUUGUGGAAGGAUGUGCGGGAGUGAUGUGCGAUUUCUUGUGUCCCCUACUUUCCUUGUUUACGUUUUGCGCAGUGUUGCUUCUUCUUCCAUUGUGGAAUGAUUUAUCCUAGCAAAUUGUUGAGGUAAGUUUCUUGAUCUCAUAUGUGCUUCAAUGUACUAAUUUAACUAAUGCUUAUCGUCUUCAAAGUUACAGGUGCAUGCGCCAUUCAUCAACGCCUACCUGUUGGCAUCAUCAACAAUCUUUAUAGUAGGUGACGGAAAGAAAUUGUUUUCCAGUUUUAAAAUAUUAAGCGUUCAGCACAACUCAGCCACAAAACAACGCACUGGAUUGCGCUAAGAACCUGUCGAAACGCGCGCAGCCCCCGGGAGCGGUAGGAGAAAGGAAGAACGAGAGGAGAAAAAACUAAAGCCAGCGCGCAGCUCUGAUGGUACCCCGUACGCGGUAAGAAGAAAAAAGAUCGAGAGGAGGAAGAACGGUAAAUUUGGAAGGGGGAGACCGUUCUGCCGUCUCCACAGUGUGAGUAUGCCAAAGCACGUGUUGGAAGGGAAAGAAAAAGUGUGGAAUAAACCGCAUGCGAAUGUGUGCAUACAGCAAAAGUAAA